CCAGUUGAUCCUGCUGGAGGCUACUGCUAUCUGGUUUGCACUAAGGCAUGCAAGUUUUUUUCUUUGUUCUUCGGAAUUAAGGAAAGGCGAACUGCUCAGUAACACGUAGCUAACCUGCCCUAACGCUCGGAAUAAUGUCGGGAAACUGACUCUAACACCGAACAGAAGAUAAUUUCUGGAAUGAGCUAUCUUUUAAGUUAGGAUGGGGCUGCGGCUGAUUAGCUUGUUGGCGGGGUAAUAGCCCACCAAGGCUUAGAUCAGUAAGGGCUCUUAGCGGAGAAGCCCUGAGAGGGAGUCUGAGACACUACUCCCAGCCCCACGGGGUGCAGCAGCUAGGGAACUUCUGCAAUGUACGAAAGUAUGACAGAGCAAGCCAGAGUGCUACUCUAUAUUUGAGCAGCUUUUGUGAGAUGUAAAAAUUCUCACGAAUAAGGACUGGGCAAGACUGGUGCCAGCCGCCGCGGUAAUCCCAGCGGUCCAAGUAGUAGCCACUUUUAUUGGGUCUAAAACAUCCGUAGCUUGCUUCGUAAGUCUCUUGUGAAAUCUGGCCUCUUAAGGGUCAGGCGGGCAAGAGAUACUGCGUUGCUAGGGACCGGUAGACGUAAGGAGUACGGUUAGGGUAACUCAUGUUCAAAUAAACAAUGCCCUAAACAAAUUUGGCCAUAUGCUGAAAAAUCCGAGAAUCUCAAAUUACUCGUCGAGAAAUCGGCAGUGAAAAUAUUUGAGUGCGGACAAUCAGCAGGAAAGACAGGAAUUCAAAAGAUUUAUAUAUACAAUUAUUUGGGAAGUUGAAUGGGAAUAAAUGAAUUAUUAGAACUUUGGUUUGAUGGUUUUGGAAGGAUACUUGAUUUAGGAGGAAAUAGCGUGGAAGCUAAAUCUUUAGGAAAACCUAGAUUAGUUUUCUGGUAUGAACCAAGAACAUCAAAAAGAAGUUCAAAAGAAGUUUUGUAUGACAAAGAAAAACAAAAUUUUAAAAGAGCUUAUGAUAGGAGUCAUUCUAUACCUGAAGGAACCGAUUCUUUCAUUAAAGGAGAGAUAAGCACUUUUGAAGAUAAAGAGCAGAUUCUUUAUAUACUUCCUGUUCAAUUAUAUCAAACAAUUAAAAUUCCUGAAUCCUCAGAGACUAUACGCCAAACACAAACUAACCAAAAACUAUAAAUAACUCAACUUCCAACAAAUUCUAUGGAAACAAUAACAAUUAAUAGAAGAGCUUUUGCCGACAUAGCAAGAUUGGUAGAAGAAUUGGAAGACAGAAUAGAAUCUUUAGAAUUAAUGAGCGAUUCAGAAUUCAUGGAAUCUCUAAAGAAAUCAGAAGAGCAAAUAAAAAACAGAGAAUUUGCAAACUGGAAUGAGUUAUAAAAUUCUUCCAACUAAGGAAUUUGAAAGAGAAUUCAAUAAACUGGAUAAACAUUUUCAAAGCCAGAUAAAAGAUAAGUUUGAAGAAAUUGCUCAAAAUCCUGAAAGAUAUAAACAUCUUCAUUUUAGUUUGAAUAAAUUCUGUAGAAUCAGAAUCGGAAAAUUGAGAAUUAUUUUUAGAUACGAUGCUCAGAAACAAGAAUUAUAUUUAGAAGAAAUAGUUUUUGGACAUAAGUAUUAGUUGGUGAUGAUAUAGUCCGAUCUUCAUAGCGAUAUGAAGAAGUUGGUAGAAAUAUCAACUCGCCAUUAGAAAAGUUUAAAUAAUCUGGACAACUAAAAAUAUAAAGGUCCAGAUGGAUCGAGCCGGUCCUAAAAAUUCUUUUAGAAUUUUGGGAACUUCAACUCUUACGAGAUUGAAGUGAAUCAAACCCGGAUUACCAGCGUGACAAGCUAUUGUCUUAUCAUUAGACGACUGGUCCAUCUACCUGUUUUUAUUUUCUAAAUUAUAUAAAUUUUCCCUAAAGGGUAAGUAACUUUCUUAUGAAAGUGAAGUAACACAAAUGAGCGGUAAAAUGCGUUGAUCCUUACUGGACUAACGACAGCGAAGGCACCUUACGAGAACGGAUCCGACAGUGAGGGAUGAAGGCUAGGGGCGCAAAACGGAUUAGAUACCCGUGUAGUCCUAGCAGUAAACACUGCACACUAAACAUUGGUGCCUCCUCGAGAGGUAUCGGUGCUGUAGCGAAGGCGUAGAGUGUGCUACC
Molecule: ribosomal RNA, 2120 nt
Filed under: Candidatus Pacearchaeota archaeon
Lineage: Archaea; Nanobdellati
Description: bacterial SSU rRNA
Rfam family: Archaeal small subunit ribosomal RNA (bases 1-689)
Source: RNAcentral